AUUGAACGCUGGCGGAAUGCUUUACACAUGCAAGUCGAACGGCAGCACGGGGGCAACCCUGGUGGCGAGUGGCGAACGGGUGAGUAAUACAUCGGAACGUGCCCGGUCGUGGGGGAUAACGUAGCGAAAGUUACGCUAAUACCGCAUACGAUCUGAGGAUGAAAGCGGGGGACCUUCGGGCCUCGCGCGAUCGGAGCGGCCGAUGUCAGAUUAGGUAGUUGGUGGGGUAAAGGCCUACCAAGCCGACGAUCUGUAGCUGGUCUGAGAGGACGACCAGCCACACUGGGACUGAGACACGGCCCAGACUCCUACGGGAGGCAGCAGUGGGGAAUUUUGGACAAUGGGCGCAAGCCUGAUCCAGCCAUUCCGCGUGCAGGGCGAAGGCCUUCGGGUUGUAAACUGCUUUUGUAUGGAACGAAAAGGCUCUGGCUAAUACCUGGGGCUCAUGACGGUACCGUAAGAAUAAGCACCGGCUAACUACGUG
This 484-nucleotide ribosomal RNA is filed under the name uncultured bacterium. RNAcentral's name for it is "partial 16S ribosomal RNA". It matches the Rfam family "Bacterial small subunit ribosomal RNA", at positions 30 to 507 of the family's 1533-position model. The record is from RNAcentral.